UGGGGAAUAUUGCACAAUGGAGGGAACUCUGAUGCAGCGACGCCGCGUGAGUGAUGAAGGAAUUCGUUUCGUAAAACUCUGUUCUAUGGGAAGAAAAGGACUGUACCAUAGGAGAAAGCUCCGGCUAAAUACGUGCCAGCAGCCGCGGUAAUACGUAUGGAGCGAGCGUUGUCCGGAAUUAUUGGGCGUAAAGGGUGCGCAGGCGGCUUUACAAGUUGGAUGUGAAAUAUUGUGGCUCAACCACAAACGUGCAUCCAAAACUGCAAAGCUUGGGUUAAGGAGAGGUAAGUGGAAUUCCUGGUGUAGCGGUGGAAUGCGUAGAUAUCAGGAGGAAUACCGGUGGCGAAGGCGACUUACUGGACUUAAACUGACGCUAAGGCACGAAAGCGUGGGGAGCAAACAGG
This 404-nucleotide ribosomal RNA is filed under the name Fusobacteriota bacterium. Its description in RNAcentral is "Fusobacteria bacterium partial 16S ribosomal RNA". It matches the Rfam family "Bacterial small subunit ribosomal RNA", at positions 355 to 776 of the family's 1533-position model. Lineage: Bacteria; Fusobacteriati; Fusobacteriota. The record is from RNAcentral.